CGUUUAUACCCAAGUGGUUUAAGGGAAUGGCUAAACAGUCAUAGGGCAAAAAUAUUUGCCGCGAGGGUUCGACUCCCUCUAAUCGCGCCA
RNAcentral lists this transfer RNA (90 nucleotides) under Coprococcus sp. ART55/1. It matches the Rfam family "tRNA". From Rfam's summary of the family: Transfer RNA (tRNA) molecules are approximately 80 nucleotides in length. Their secondary structure includes four short double-helical elements and three loops (D, anti-codon, and T loops). The record is from RNAcentral. Lineage: Bacteria; Bacillati; Bacillota; Clostridia; Lachnospirales; Lachnospiraceae.